This 29-nucleotide small RNA is filed under the name Bombyx mori (domestic silkworm). Its description in RNAcentral is "ovarian small RNA-11007". The record is from RNAcentral. Lineage: Eukaryota; Metazoa; Arthropoda; Insecta; Lepidoptera; Bombycidae.
ACACCAGGCAACUGGCCGGAGCCGAUGGA